This 433-nucleotide ribosomal RNA is filed under the name uncultured bacterium. RNAcentral's name for it is "partial 16S ribosomal RNA". It matches the Rfam family "Bacterial small subunit ribosomal RNA", at positions 29 to 507 of the family's 1533-position model. The record is from RNAcentral.
AACGAACGCUGGCGGCAGGCCUAACACAUGCAAGUCGAGCGGACCCUUCGGGGUUAUCGGCGGACGGGUUAGUAACGCGUGGGAACGUGCCCUUUGCUUCGGAAUAUCCCUGUGAAACUGGGAGUAAUACCGGAUACGCCCUUUUGGGGAAAGUUUUAUCGGCUAAGGAUCGGCCCGCGUUGGAUUAGGUAGUUUGUGGGGUAAUGGCCUACCAAGCGGAAGAUCCAUAGCUGGUUUGAGAGGAUGAUCAGCCACACUGGGACUGAGACAAGGCCCAGACUGCUAGGGGAGGAAGAAGUGGGGAAUGUUAGACAAUGGGGGAAACACUGAGCUAGCCAUGCCGCGUGAGCGAUGAAGGCCUUAGGGUUGUAAAGCUCUUUAACAGGGGAAGAUAAUGACGGUACCCGGAGAAGAAGCCACGGCUAACUCCGUG